This is a non-coding RNA of Bergeyella zoohelcum ATCC 43767, 402 nucleotides long. It matches the Rfam family "transfer-messenger RNA". From Rfam's summary of the family: Bacterial tmRNA, also known as 10Sa RNA or SsrA, is named for its dual tRNA and mRNA-like properties. Its role is to liberate the mRNA from a stalled ribosome. To accomplish this part of the tmRNA is used as a reading frame that ends in a translation stop signal. The record is from Rfam. Lineage: Bacteria; Pseudomonadati; Bacteroidota; Flavobacteriia; Flavobacteriales; Weeksellaceae.
GGGGCUGACCGGUUUCGACAGCAAGACCAAUGGGUAAGUAAGCAUGCAGAGAACCGUAGCGCGAUCUCUUUAAUCCCUUGCUACAAGAAUUUAACUGGCAACGAAGAGUAUGCUCUUGCUGCUUAAUCUGAAGUAUAGUAAGAUAAGCGUUUUUCCCGAAGUACAGUAAGGAAACAAGAUGUCUCACGGAAGCUCCGUUCUGCGGCGUCCGAGUAUGAGGCAUGGGAAAUGCAGAAAUAAGCCUUUGAACGCUUCGGUCAAAGGACGAAAAACUUUAGAAGAUAAGUUGGAAAUUGGGUGUUUGUUCUCUGUUUUCAAUCGAAAAUUAAAAACAAAAUAAGCAUGUAGAAAGCUUGCGUAUUGCUUGUUUGGACGAGGGUUCGAAUCCCUCCAGCUCCACAA